AGCCACCGAAUUGCAAUGAGCCGAAUUUACACCACUUAGUGAGGACCAAUUGGAGGGCAAGUCUGGUGCCAGCAGCCGCGGUAAUUCCAGCUCCAAUAGCGUAUAUUAAAGUUGUUGCAGUUAAAAAGCUCGUAGUUGGAUUUCUGGCGGGGACCCAAGUACCCCUGGUGGGUGUGCGCGGGCCCGGCCAUCCUUCUGUCAACUUUCGCGCGUCCUUCACCGGUCGGCAAAGGGAUCAGAUAAUUUACCUUGAGAAAAUUAGAGUGUUUCAGGCAGGCUUAGCCGGAAUACAUUAGCAUGGAAUAAUGGAAUAGGACUGAGGUCUCGUUGUUGGUUACGCGGACUCCAGUAAUGAUUAAUAGGGAUAGUUGGGGGCAUUAGUAUUUAAUUGUCAGAGGUGGAAUUCUCAGAUUUGAUAAAGACUAACUUAUGCGAAAGCAUUUGCCAAGGAUGUUUUCAUUAAUCAAGAACGAAAGUUAGGGGAUCAAAGACGAUCAGAUACCGUCCUAGUCUUAACCAUAAACUAUGCCGACUCGGGAUCGGGAGCGUGUGUUAUCCGCUUUCGGCACCGUAUGAGAAAUCAAAGUCUUUGGGUUCUGG
Molecule: ribosomal RNA, 600 nt
Filed under: uncultured ciliate
Lineage: Eukaryota; Ciliophora
Description: SSU rRNA
Rfam family: Eukaryotic small subunit ribosomal RNA
Source: RNAcentral